This is a non-coding RNA of Misgurnus anguillicaudatus (oriental weatherfish), 1171 nucleotides long. The record is from RefSeq and is a predicted model, not a curated record. NCBI's taxonomy places the organism in Eukaryota, Metazoa, Chordata, Actinopteri, Cypriniformes, Cobitidae.
UUAGGUGAGCUGUGAUCGACAGUUAUCACAACCUAUUAGGGAGUGGCAGUCCCCUUUUAAGCGGCGAUUGGCUGCUGCCCGAAAUGCGUCAUGUCCGGCUUUCCCCCUUGGUGUUCGCAACGAUAGCGACAGAGCGUUUGUCUAUCGUGCUGGUGCCCUCCUGUACUUGAGUGGGUUAAAUGACUGUUUACCCUCAGUUAGCUGUUGUUUACCUGAUGUUGGUAAACCUGUGCUGUAAACUGUAAUGUGUCUGAGGUGAUGCCACUGUUUGGAUUCUCCCUUUUGUUCUACGCCGUGCUUCCUUUAUUGAUGAGUUUGAUUUUCGCGCUGCUGUGUCGUACCGCUAAACGACGUCACUAUCUUUACCGUGAUACCAUGGACUGUACACUGUCUGGUUUCUAAACUUUACUGCAAAAUUCUAUUUCUCAGUGGAGGACUGUCCAGCACAUUGAAGCUGGCGUAUGGACUUUGUGUUCGCGCCGUAUGAUUUCUUCUGUGUAGCCCAUUUGCCAUUUAUUGGUGUGUGUUGCUUUACUUUUAGGGGCUGGGGGUUUCCACGGGCAAAGGAUCUUGUAAUGGUGGUGGUACAGCGUCAAUGGUUGCCGUGCUACACCUUUUUGCUGUGUACGAGUGUGUGUGCUCUGAAUUCACGGUGUGGUGUGUGAGUGCUUUUUUUGAUAAUUUGCGCCAGUGAUCACUCCUGUGGGAACCUCAGCCCUGUAAGUUGAUGUUUUGUGUUUUUUUAUUUAUGUUGACUGUUGCCAGUCAUUGUUUUUUUGUAGAAAUUAUAUUUUCUUUUCUACAGUCGUUUUGUACUUUUGUAUAAUUUUGUUUUGUGUGAUAAUGUGAUGUUUUAAGAUAAUCUGUUUUGUGUCUUUUAUGGUUGGAUUGUAAGAGAGCUGUGUGUGGAGUAACAUCAGUCUGUGCCUGUUUUAAGUCAUUCUCCGACCUCAAUGAAGGUUAUAAAAAUAAAUCUUAUAUUUUUGUAUUAUACCCACGUCUCCUGCUCAUUGCUCUUGUUCUGAGGAAUGAACUUGUGUGCCUUACCACCUUUUUGGGUGUAAGGAUUAUUUCCCUGGGUGUAAGUCCCGGGGUGGCGUAGUCGGAGUUUUAUGCAAAAUCUUUGCUUUCGUCACAAAGCUUUCCCCCAACCCCCUCGUCAUGCCACAUA